Molecule: ribosomal RNA, 130 nt
Filed under: Diaporthe leucospermi
Lineage: Eukaryota; Fungi; Ascomycota; Sordariomycetes; Diaporthales; Diaporthaceae
Also listed under: 1 other name
Description: 5.8S ribosomal RNA
Rfam family: 5.8S ribosomal RNA
About the family: 5.8S ribosomal RNA (5.8S rRNA) is a component of the large subunit of the eukaryotic ribosome. It is transcribed by RNA polymerase I as part of the 45S precursor that also contains 18S and 28S rRNA. Functionally, it is thought that 5.8S rRNA may be involved in ribosome translocation.
Source: RNAcentral
AAACUUUCAACAACGGAUCUCUUGGUUCUGGCAUCGAUGAAGAACGCAGCGAAAUGCGAUAAGUAAUGUGAAUUGCAGAAUUCAGUGAAUCAUCGAAUCUUUGAACGCACAUUGCGCCCUCUGGUAUUCC